UACGUGCCAGCAGCCGCGGUCAUACGUAGGGUCAAGCAUUAUCCGGAUUGACUGGGUGUAAAGAGUUGCGUAGGUGGCAUGGUAAGUAGAUAGUGAAAUCUGGUGGCUCAACCAUUCAGACUGUUAUCUAAACUGCCAAGCUCGAGAGCGUUAGGGGUAGCUGGAAUUUCUAGUGUAGGAGUGAAAUCCGUAGAUAUUAGAAAGAACACCGAUAGCGUAGGCAGGCUACUGGGGCGUUUCUGACACUAAGGCACGAAAGCGUGGGGAGCAAACGGGAUUAGAUACCCCGGUAGUCCACGCUGUAAACGAUGGAUGCUAGCAGUUCCCGGUAUCGACCCCGGAAGUUGCGAAGCUAACGCGUUAAGCAUCCCACCUGUGUAGUACGAUCGCAAGAUUAAAACAUAAAGGAAUUGACGGGGACCCGCACAAGCGGUGGAGCGUGAUCUUUAAUUCGAUGGUAAACGAUAAACCUUACCAAGGCUUGACAUCCGAGGAAGGCUCUCGAAAGAGAACUGUGCCUUCGGGAACCUCGAGACAGAUGAUGCAUGGCCGUCGUCAGCUCGUGUCGUGAGAUGUUUGGUUAAGUCCAUCAACGAGCGCAACCCUUGCAACCAGUUGGAUUUUUCUGGUAGGACUGCCCCGGUAACGGGGAGGAAGGAGGGGAUGAUGUCAGGUCAGUAUUUCUCUUACGCCUUGGGCUAGAAUCGCGCUACAAUGGCCGGUACAAUGCGAAGCGAAGCAGCGAUGUGAAGCAAAUCGCACCAAAGCCGGUCCCAGUUCGGAUUGGAGGCUGAAACUCGCCUCCAUGAAGUCGGAAUCGCUAGUAAUCGCAGAUCAGCAUGUUGCGGUGAAUACGUUCCCGGGUCUUGCACUCACCGCCCGU
This 883-nucleotide ribosomal RNA is filed under the name uncultured bacterium. Its description in RNAcentral is "bacterial SSU rRNA". It matches the Rfam family "Bacterial small subunit ribosomal RNA", at positions 502 to 1397 of the family's 1533-position model. The record is from RNAcentral.